GUGGCCUUAUAAUCCCGGACUUCAAGCUCUAUUAUAAAGCUGCAGUUGUCAAGACAGUACGAUACUGGCAGAAAAAGAGACUCAUAGG
Mustela erminea (ermine) is the source of this 88-nucleotide long non-coding RNA. RefSeq lists it as uncharacterized. Lineage: Eukaryota; Metazoa; Chordata; Mammalia; Carnivora; Mustelidae. The transcript is spliced from 3 exons. The record is from RefSeq and is a predicted model, not a curated record.